This 29-nucleotide non-coding RNA is filed under the name Homo sapiens (human). The record is from RNAcentral. Lineage: Eukaryota; Metazoa; Chordata; Mammalia; Primates; Hominidae.
UCUUGGAACGGGCUCCAUGCCCAAGCUGG